Molecule: transfer RNA, 74 nt
Filed under: Ruminococcus sp.
Lineage: Bacteria; Bacillati; Bacillota; Clostridia; Eubacteriales; Oscillospiraceae
Also listed under: 1 other name
Description: tRNA-Ile
Rfam family: tRNA
About the family: Transfer RNA (tRNA) molecules are approximately 80 nucleotides in length. Their secondary structure includes four short double-helical elements and three loops (D, anti-codon, and T loops).
Source: RNAcentral
GGGCCAUUAGCUCAGUUGGUUAGAGCUUCCGGCUCAUAACCGGACGGUCCUGGGUUCGAGUCCCCGAUGGCCCA